This 467-nucleotide ribosomal RNA is filed under the name uncultured bacterium. RNAcentral describes it as "bacterial SSU rRNA". It matches the Rfam family "Bacterial small subunit ribosomal RNA", at positions 28 to 524 of the family's 1533-position model. The record is from RNAcentral.
GACGAACGCUAGCGGCGUGCCUAAGGUAUGCAAGUCGAACGGCCCGCAAGGGUAGUGGCGAACGGUCGAGUAACACGUAGACAACCUGCCUCCGAGUGGGGGAUAACAGCUCGAAAGGGCUGCUAAUACCGCAUACGGUGGCGCGGCGCUGCCGCGUUGACCAAAGGCGCAAGCCGCUGGGAGAUGGGUCUGCGGCCUAUCAGCUAGUUGGUGAGGUAACGGCUCACCAAGGCGACGACGGGUAGCUGGUCUGAGAGGAUGAUCAGCCGGACGGGGACUGAGACACGGCCCCGACUCCUUCGGGAGGCAGCAAUGAGGAAUAUUGCGCAAUGGGCGAAAGCCUGACGCAGCGACGCCGCGUGGGUGAGGAAGUUCUUCGGAAUGUAAAGCCCUUUUGUCAGGGACGAGAAUGGACGGUACCUGACGAAUAAAGCCCCGGCUAACUACGUGCCAGCAGCCGCAGUAAG